Molecule: long non-coding RNA, 2137 nt
Organism: Oncorhynchus tshawytscha (Chinook salmon)
Lineage: Eukaryota; Metazoa; Chordata; Actinopteri; Salmoniformes; Salmonidae
Source: Ensembl
GGUGCUGUGGUAAGGUAGUGUUAUUCCCUUCUUGGUGCUGUGGUAAGGUAGUGUUAUUCCCUUCUUGGUGCUGUGGUAAGGUAGUGUUAUUCCCUUCUUGGUGCUGUGGUAAGGUAGUGUUAUUCCCUUCCUCCCCCUUUAUAUCGGUGCUGUGGUAAGGUAGUGUUAUUAGACUUCGGGCUGUUAAGAGUCUGAUCAAGGAGAGAGCAGUGAAGAGUUGUGAGCCUGUAGAGAGUUGUUGAUCUGAUUCUGUUUGCCUCUGGAAACAUGUCCUCAGUUUUCUUCCCUAAUAAGGCAGAGGAGAAGAUAGAUCUUUGAGGCUCCAGUCACCACAGCCGCUGAUUUGUUUGUUCCCUCACCUACUGUAUGUAAUUACAGUAUAUAGUCAAAUGAGUGUCUCCACGCAAACACAGACACUCAUUUCUCUCUCUCUCUCUCUCUCUCUCUCUCUCUCUCUCUCUCUCUCUCUCUCUCUCUCUCACAGCCGGCCUAUAAUUUAGCAGUCUAAGAAUCUGUGGUGGGGAGGAGAGAAGAAGAAUCCACACUGUCUAGUCAGAGAGAGUGCUAGCUGACGCUGGCUGGCGGGGCCAGAUGCUCACACCGCCCGGAUGUAAAAAUAACCAGCCCAUCUCUGAAGUGGUGUUUGUGUGCUCAGCUCGUGGUGGUCUUUGUUCCUUGAACAGUUCAAUAACAAACGUCCUAUUAAUACAAGUCAUUGUGGAGUCAUGACAGAGCGAGAGAGAAAAAGCCCCCGCUGAACAGAACAAAACAGAAACGGAGCCCUGAGACAAAGAGGCUGUAUGUCUGCUUGUUGCAGGUGACAAUAGAUGGUGGAUAGAAAUAGACUGGGAGAAAGACAGGGUAGGACCCCGCAGUAGCUACGUUGAUGUCAUAAAAGGGGGUCUCCACACAACCUUCAUCUCCACCAAGCCCCGAGUAAACAGCUUGAUGGGACUGUCAUCACUGGAUGAUAUAAAAACAUACACCCACAGAGUGACAGAGGUCCUCAGUAUACAUCGCUCAGGCUCAGACUGCGUGUGACCGGUCUCUCUCGACCCCUACCUCUGCCCAGCUCGCCUGCCUCGCACAUGAGAUUUCCACUUGGACAGGAAGCUGAUUCUCCUGCCACUUCCAGGGCAGAACACAAGGCUUCCACCUUCACACAUUCCACCCACCAUGCCAUGUAUAGCUUACACAGUCCGACACCCAAGUAUUUUCAAAUUCAUUAUUUACCAAACAGAUCUGGUUCAAAUGCAUGGGAGUAUUUAAGUAUUUGUAUAAAUACUGUGUAUUUGAGUAUUUUCACAUACCUGUCAAUCAAUACUUUUCCAAAUACAUUCCAAUAUUCAACCAGUCAGUCAGUCAGCCAGUCAAUCAGUCAGUCAACCAGUCAGUCAGUCAGUCAGUCAACCAGUCAGUCAGUCAGUCAGCCAGUCAACCAGUCAAUCAGUCAGUCAACCAGUCAGUCAGUCAGCCAGUCAGCCAGUCAAUCAGUCAGUCAACCAGUCAGUCAGUCAGUCAACCAGUCAGUCAGCCAGUCAGCCAGUCAGUCAGUCAGUCAGCCAGUCAGUCAGUCAGUCAACCAGUCAGUCAGUCAGUCAACCAGUCAGUCAGUCAGUCAGUCAGUCAGUCAGUCAGUCAGUCAGUCAACCAUCCAGUCAGUCAGUCAACCAGUCAGUCAGUCAGUCAACCAGUCAGUCAGUCAGUCAAUCAGUCAGUCAGUCAGUCAACCAGUCAGUCAGUCAGUCAGUCAACCAGUCAGUCAGUCAACCAGUCAGUCAACCAGUCAGUCAACCAGUCAACCAGUCAGUCAGUCAGCCAGUCAACCAGUCAGUCAGUCAGUCAGUCAGCCAGUCAACCAGUCAGUCAGCCAGUCAACCAGUCAGUCAGCCAGUCAGCCAGUCAACCAGUCAGUCAGCCAGUCAGUCAGUCAGUCAGUCAGUCAGCCAGUCUGUGGAUUGCUUCCUGUCCUGGAGGGCCAUAGGUCACCAGGUUGCCGCUGGCCACACAGUCCAGUGCAGCAGAGCACAGGGACCAGGACCCACAGGAAACAGGCUCUCAUCUCCCUCCCAUCAGCUAAUGGACAGGAAUGUAGGGGGGUACUCCAGACCUCCCAACCAAACACACUGGCUUUCUC